GUUUGAUCCUGGCUCAGGAUGAACGCUAGCGGGAGGCCUAAUACAUGCAAGUCGAACGGUAAGGUUCCUUCGGGAAUACACGAGUGGCAAACGGGUGCGUAACGCGUACGAGACAUACCUUUAUCAGGAGGAUAGCCCCGGGAAACUGGGAAUAAUACUCCAUAGUAUUAUAAAGUAGCAUUACUUAAUAAUUAAAGCUCCGGCGGAUAAAGAUUGUCGUGCGUCCCAUUAGUUAGUUGGUGAGGUAACGGCUCACCAAGACGAUGAUGGGUAGCUGGUUUGAGAGGAUGAUCAGCCACACUGGUACUGAGACACGGACCAGACUCCUACGGGAGGCAGCAGUAGGGAAUAUUGGACAAUGGACGCAAGUCUGAUCCAGCCAUCCCGCGUGCAGGAUUAAGGCCCUCUGGGUUGUAAACUGCUUUUAUUAGAGAAGAAAACAUUAGAUUCAUCUAAUCUUGACGGUAUCUAAUGAAUAAGCACCGGCUAACUCCGUGCCAGCAGCCGCGGUAAUACGGAGGGUGCAAGCGUUAUCCGGAUUUACUGGGUUUAAAGGGUGCGCAGGCGGUGAUUUAAGUCAGUGGUGAAAGCCUACAGCUCAACUGUAGAACUGCCAUUGAAACUGAAUUACUUGAGUGUGGUAGAGGUAGGCGGAAUAUAWCAUGUAGCGGUGAAAUGCGURRWUAUGUUAUAGAACRACRAUUGCSAAGKCARCUUAMUAACYCAUUACURAASYKCAGGCCUGAAAKCGGGURGAGSKAGGCGGAWUAKAUMAUGUGGCRGUSMAMKSCMUAGAYRWGUUAYASAACACMGAUUGCGAAAGCAGCUWRYKWMMMMRUUACUGACGCUCAGGCACGAACKCGKGGAGWACGAWCAGGAUUAGUKAMACUGGUAGUCCACGCCCUAAACGAUGUUCACUCGAUAUUUGCGAUAAACAGUAAUUGUCCAAGCGAAAGCGUUAAGUGAACCACCYGGGGAGUACGAUCGCAAGGUUGAAACUCAAAGGAAUUGACGGGGGUCCGCACAAGCGGUGGAGUAUGUGGUUUAAUUCGAUGAUACGCGAAGAACCUUACCUAGGCUCUAAUUCUAUGUGCUACAUCCCGAAAAGGAUGGUUUCUUCGGAACGCAUAGGAAGGUGCUGCAUGGUUGUCGUCAGCUCGUGCCGUGAGGUGUUGGGUUAAGUCCCGCAACGAGCGCAACCCCUGUCUUUAGUUGCCAGCGAGUAAUGUCGGGGACUCUAAAGAGACUGCCUGCGCAAGCAGUGAGGAAGGAGGGGAUGACGUCAAAUCAUCAUGGCCUUUAUGCCUAGGGCUACACACGUACUGCAAUGGUAAAGACAAAGAGUAGCUACUUGGCGACAAGAUGCCAAUCUCAAAAACUUUAUCUCAGUUCGGAUUGGAGUCUGCAACUCGACUCCAUGAAGCUGGAAUCGCUAGUAAUAGUAGAUCAGCAAUGCUACGGUGAAUACGUUCCCGGACCUUGUACACACCGCCCGUCAAGCCAUGGAAGCUGGGUGUACCUUAAGUCGGUAACCGCAAGGAGCCGCCCAAGGUAAAACUGGUAACUAGGGCUAAGUCGUAACAAGGUAGCC
Molecule: ribosomal RNA, 1591 nt
Filed under: bacterium episymbiont of Kiwa sp.
Lineage: Bacteria; Pseudomonadati; Pseudomonadota; Alphaproteobacteria
Description: partial 16S ribosomal RNA
Rfam family: Bacterial small subunit ribosomal RNA
Source: RNAcentral